RNAcentral lists this ribosomal RNA (2912 nucleotides) under Pseudoalteromonas sp. S1688. RNAcentral describes it as "23S ribosomal RNA". It matches the Rfam family "Bacterial large subunit ribosomal RNA". The record is from RNAcentral. Lineage: Bacteria; Pseudomonadati; Pseudomonadota; Gammaproteobacteria; Alteromonadales; Pseudoalteromonadaceae.
GUUGUAUGGUUAAGUGACUAAGCGUACACGGUGGAUGCCUUGGCAGUUGGAGGCGAUGAAGGACGUAUUAACUUGCGAUAAGCCUAGUCAAGCUAGUAAAAAGCACUUGAGACUAGGAUUUCCGAAUGGGGAAACCCACCUGCUUGCAGGUAUCGUUAACUGAAUACAUAGGUUAACGAGGCGAACGCGGAGAACUGAAACAUCUAAGUACCCGUAGGAAAAGAAAUCAACCGAGAUUCCGAUAGUAGCGGCGAGCGAAAUCGGAACAGCCCUUAAGCUUAUUAUGUGUUAAUGGAAGGCUCUGGAAAGUGCCACGAUACAGGGUGAUAGUCCCGUACAUGAAAAUGCAUUUUAAGUGAAAUCGAGUAGGUCGGAGCACGUGAAACUUUGACUGAAUAUAGGUGGACCAUCAUCUAAGGCUAAAUACUCCCAACUGACCGAUAGUGAACCAGUACCGUGAGGGAAAGGCGAAAAGAACCCCUGUGAGGGGAGUGAAAUAGAACCUGAAACCGUGUACGUACAAGCAGUAGGAGCCCACUUGUUGGGUGACUGCGUACCUUUUGUAUAAUGGGUCAGCGACUUAUAUUUUGUAGCGAGGUUAACCGAUUAGGGUAGCCGUAGGGAAACCGAGUCUUAACUGGGCGAAUAGUUGCAAGGUAUAGACCCGAAACCCGGUGAUCUAGCCAUGGGCAGGUUGAAGGUUGAGUAACAUCAACUGGAGGACCGAACCCACUAACGUUGAAAAGUUAGGGGAUGACCUGUGGUUAGGAGUGAAAGGCUAAUCAAACCGGGAGAUAGCUGGUUCUCCCCGAAAUCUAUUUAGGUAGAGCCUCGGACGAAUACUUACGGGGGUAGAGCACUGUUAAGGCUAGGGGGUCAUCCCGACUUACCAACCCUUUGCAAACUCCGAAUACCGUAAAGUAAUAUCCGGGAGACACACGGCGGGUGCUAACGUCCGUCGUGAAGAGGGAAACAACCCAGACCGCCAGCUAAGGUCCCAAAGUCAUAGUUAAGUGGGAAACGAUGUGGAAAGGCCCAGACAGCCAGGAGGUUGGCUUAGAAGCAGCCAUCCUUUAAAGAAAGCGUAAUAGCUCACUGGUCGAGUCGGUCUGCGCGGAAGAUGUAACGGGGCUAAACUAUGCACCGAAGCUGCGGAUUCAAAAUUUAUUUUGAGUGGUAGGGGAGCGUUCUGUAAGCGGUUGAAGGUGUACCGGGAGGUAUGCUGGACGUAUCAGAAGUGCGAAUGCUGACAUGAGUAACGAUAAUGCGGGUGAAAAACCCGCACGCCGGAAGACCAAGGGUUCCUAUCCCAUGUUAAUCAGGGUAGGGUAAGUCGACCCCUAAGGCGAGGCCGAAAGGCGUAGUCGAUGGGAAACGGAUUAAUAUUUCCGUACUUGGUAUAAUUGCGAUGGGGGGACGGAGCAGGCUAAGCAAGCAUGGCGAUGGUAGUCCAUGUGAAAGUGUGUAGGCUAGCGACUUAGGUAAAUCCGGGUUGCUGUUAGGCUGAGACACGAGACGAGUCACCAAGGUGAUGAAGUUGCUGAUGCCAUACUUCCAGGAAAAGCCUCUAAGCUUCAGAUUAUACCGAAUCGUACCCCAAACCGACACAGGUGGUCAGGUAGAGAAUACUAAGGCGCUUGAGAGAACUCGGGUGAAGGAACUAGGCAAAAUCGUACCGUAACUUCGGGAGAAGGUACGCUCCGAUUGGUGAUGGGACUUGCUCCCUAAGCUGAUUGGAGCCGCAGUGACCAGGUGGCUGGGACUGUUUAUUAAAAACACAGCACUGUGCAAAAUCGCAAGAUGACGUAUACGGUGUGACACCUGCCCGGUGCCGGAAGGUUAAUUGAUGGGGUUAUCUUCGGAGAAGCUCUUGAUCGAAGCCCCGGUAAACGGCGGCCGUAACUAUAACGGUCCUAAGGUAGCGAAAUUCCUUGUCGGGUAAGUUCCGACCUGCACGAAUGGUGUAACCAUGGCCACGCUGUCUCCACCCGAGACUCAGUGAAAUUGAAAUCGCAGUGAAGAUGCUGUGUACCCGCGGCUAGACGGAAAGACCCCGUGAACCUUUACUACAGCUUGGCACUGAACAUUGAACCUACAUGUGUAGGAUAGGUGGGAGACUUAGAAGCAGAGACGCUAGUUUUUGUGGAGUCGUCCUUGAAAUACCACCCUUGUAGUUUUGAUGUUCUAACGUUGGCCCCUGAAUCGGGGUUACGGACAGUGCCUGGUGGGUAGUUUGACUGGGGCGGUCUCCUCCCAAAGAGUAACGGAGGAGCACGAAGGUUGGCUAAGUACGGUCGGACAUCGUACGGUUAGUGUAAUGGUAGAAGCCAGCUUAACUGCGAGACAGACACGUCGAGCAGGUACGAAAGUAGGUCAUAGUGAUCCGGUGGUUCUGAAUGGAAGGGCCAUCGCUCAACGGAUAAAAGGUACUCCGGGGAUAACAGGCUGAUACCGCCCAAGAGUUCAUAUCGACGGCGGUGUUUGGCACCUCGAUGUCGGCUCAUCACAUCCUGGGGCUGAAGUCGGUCCCAAGGGUAUGGCUGUUCGCCAUUUAAAGUGGUACGCGAGCUGGGUUUAGAACGUCGUGAGACAGUUCGGUCCCUAUCUGCCGUGGGCGUUUGAGAAUUGAGAGGGGUUGCUCCUAGUACGAGAGGACCGGAGUGAACGAACCGCUGGUGUUCGGGUUGUCAUGCCAAUGGCAUUGCCCGGUAGCUACGUUCGGAACUGAUAAGCGCUGAAAGCAUCUAAGCGCGAAGCAGGCCUCGAGAUGAGUUCUCACUAGACUUUUAAAGUCUCUGAAGGGCCGUUGAAGACUACAACGUUGAUAGGCAAGAUGUGGAAGUGGUGUGAGCCAUUAAGCUAACUUGUACUAAUUACCCGUGAGGCUUAACCAUACAACGCCAAACGCGUUU